Helianthus annuus (common sunflower) is the source of this 334-nucleotide long non-coding RNA. RefSeq lists it as uncharacterized. The transcript is spliced from 3 exons. The record is from RefSeq and is a predicted model, not a curated record. Lineage: Eukaryota; Viridiplantae; Streptophyta; Magnoliopsida; Asterales; Asteraceae.
GUGCGUGGAAUGCUCUGGAGAAGAACAAAGGGGUGUAAACCCUAGUUCUUAAAGAAGUUCCAAAUUGAAGGUUGAAUCGAAGCUCAAAAUCAUGAAUAAACACGGAUUAAUGCUCACCAUCACAAGAGGAUCAAAAGGAUAGGAAUCACAUUAGCAUGGACUCAAGAACGGAAGGUUAACGGGUCAAGCGGAGGCGAGGAAUCAAGCAUGAACACUAACGCUUAAGGUACUAUAUUGAAGUUUCGUCAAGGAUUAGACACCCGAAUGGAAUGAAUAAUUCUAGAAGGAUGAUGUGAUGGAAAGUAAAUGUGGAUAGAACGUAACGAGGUUACAU